This 253-nucleotide ribosomal RNA is filed under the name uncultured bacterium. Its description in RNAcentral is "partial 16S ribosomal RNA". It matches the Rfam family "Bacterial small subunit ribosomal RNA", at positions 524 to 776 of the family's 1533-position model. The record is from RNAcentral.
UACGGGGGGGGCAAGCGUUGUUCGGAAUUACUGGGCGUAAAGGGCGCGUAGGCGGUUUGCUAAGUUGGAUGUGAAAACUCUGGGCUUAACCCAGAGCCUGCAUCCAAAACUGGCAAACUUGAGUACUGGAGGGGAAAGCGGAAUUCCUGGUGUAGCGGUGAAAUGCGUAGAUAUCAGGAGGAACACCGGUGGCGAAGGCGGCUUUCUGGACAGUAACUGACGCUGAGGCGCGAAAGCUAGGGGAGCAAACGGG